RNAcentral lists this transfer RNA (63 nucleotides) under Chloeia sp. r EEE-2022. RNAcentral's name for it is "tRNA-Phe". It matches the Rfam family "tRNA". Rfam says of the family: Transfer RNA (tRNA) molecules are approximately 80 nucleotides in length. The record is from RNAcentral. Lineage: Eukaryota; Metazoa; Annelida; Polychaeta; Eunicida; Amphinomidae.
GUUUUUAUAGCUUAAACUAAAGCGCAACUCUGAAGAAGUUGAAAUGAUUUAUAUCUAAAAACA